Molecule: long non-coding RNA, 2383 nt
Filed under: Macaca fascicularis (crab-eating macaque)
Lineage: Eukaryota; Metazoa; Chordata; Mammalia; Primates; Cercopithecidae
Description: lncRNA (ENSMFAG00000064350.1)
Source: RNAcentral
UCCUUCUACCAGUUGAACACACAGUGUUCAUCCCCUCAGGAGGACACAGCUUUUGAGGUACCAUCUUGGAAGCAGAGACCAGCCCUCACUAGACACAAACUUCCUGGCACCUUGAUUUUGGACUUCAUAGCCUCCAGAACUGUGAGAAAUAAAUUUCUAUUAUUUAUAAAUUACCCAGUAUUGGAUAUUUUGUUAUAGCAGCACAAAAGGUCUAAGACAAUGACUGAGAGACACAGCCAGAAGACUCAAAAGACCCUGGUCUUGAAGCCAGAAAGACCUGGCUUUGCCAGUAGCAUGGUAUUUCAAUAAAGUAUGAUUAAACACUCUUUGAGGGACUAGAAAGGGGAAGGAAGAAUGGAGAUGGAUCAUUUGUUUCAUGCCUUUUACUUACAUUUAAGGAAUUAUGAGCAGGUGCCUAUGGAUUUUUGGAAUAUGCUUCUCUAACACUAUAAAAACUAGAAAGUGAAACUUAUAGCCACAAAUGUCAGUUUGAAAUUUCUAAUGACAAUAGAAGAAAUUAUGUAGACUCUCUCCUAAACUAUUACACCAUCAAUCAUUGCAACACAUUUUUUUCAUUUUGCCCAACUUCUACUCCUCUCAUUCUGCCCACUCCUAUAGUAUCUAAAAUGUAGUUUCUGUUAGAGAGAAUGGUGCACCACUCAACUCAUCAGCUUGAGGGCUUUGAAUGGUGUUUUCUUUUUUUUUUUUUUAUUUCAUGGCAAGCUGACUUACAAGUGACUCAAUUGUAAGCUAAGAUUUAUUUUAAUCACCAAAGAUAAUGAAUUCAAACAAUGUUACUUACACCCCUUAAUAUCACAGCUCCUAAAAACAUUGAAAUGCACAUUUUUCACCUGCUAGUCAUCUUCAAUAAUAUUCUGGAGAGGAAACAUUCUUUCCUGUCCUUACAGUGGUUGUAUAUCUUAAAAGAGGACUGUAUGACACUUGAAUAUUGAUAUUCUACCUUAACCAAAGCAGUCACAAGAAUACAAGCCAUUGGCCUCUGGUCUUUUAGAUAUGUUUCCAACAAGUUUAUAUGUACCCAAUGAAAAAUGUUAAAUAAACUGAUAAAUUUUAAACAUUUAAAAAUAUUUUAUUUAUUUACUUGCCACAGCUAGAUAAGAGGAACUGGGUUACUUUUGAAACUCUCAGUUUCCUUUCCUCUAAACCAGUAGCUAUUGCUGGCCACUAGUAUGUCGUUUCCUUUGCAGGAAGUUGCAAAAAUGAGAAAGAAAAAAAAACAAAAAACAAAACCAAGUUGGUAUUAUUUUUAGCUUUCUUCUUAUUUGGAUAUAGCUACAGUUCUUUUUCUUAUGGUGAUUAACUUAACUAUUCAAGAGAGAAAAAAGAAGCAAAGGGGACUAGCAGGGAAUUAGUAGGGAAUUGUGCCAAAGGACAUAUGGCAAGGUUAUUGUCAAAAAGCUGAGCUGCUGAAAUCCAGACAGUUUAAGAGCUUAUCUGCUCUGCUCUUCUCCCACCUAGGAGGACUCUUACUACAAUGCAAAGACUCAAGUUUCACCUUAAUUGGGUCUUUCCCAGGCCAGGUAUUAGUGCCCUUGGGAAAAAAGUUUAAGCUUCUCAGCUUCAGAUCUUCCUCUGAAUAUUAGCACUAUGGUAACAGUGGUACCUAACCCUUUGAGGGUCCAGGGUUGUUUUAAUGGUGAAUGAUUUACAAACUGAGUUUAAAAUAGCAAGGAGGAUCCAAUUUUGCAAAAUUUCACUUAAUUCUGCUUAAGAAAACAGUAUAUUAUAUUAGCUUAGAUCAGGAGUUGGGAAACUGCUACCAUUUAUUGUAUAGCCUGCAAAUGGGUUUUACAUUUUUAAUACACUGGAAAAAAAAGUAAAGAAGACUAUUAUUUCAUGAUGUGAAAAUUAUACGUGUUGAAAGGAAAUCUUUAGAGGUUAAUUGAGCAAAGAAUGAUUUGUGAAUUAGGCAGCCCCCAGAACCAGACUAGGGUUGGUUACAGCUGGGCAUUUACCUUAUUUGAACCUGGUUUGAAGAGUUGGCUGCCUGUGUUGGCUGAAGUUUGGCUGCUGUGACUGGCUGAGACUCACUACUUGUUACAAGAGUAGGUUACAGUCCGUUUUACAUAUCAAGUUGAGUUAUAGUUUUUUAUGUACUGGGAAACCUUUAGGGCAAACUUAAAAUAUGUAAGGAGGCAGCUUUAGGCCACACUAAAUUUAACGUUUCCUCCUUUUGGUCAACCUCUCAAUUUUGAGAGGAUGAUUAAUUUUGAGGUUGCCCAAAACUUUAGGCAUUGACAUCACUUUUUAUCAUCAUAAAUAGAGUUAUUUUGUCUCUAAUCCCAUUGGAAAAUAGCAGAACACUGGGUUUUGUAAGGUGGGAACAAGGAAACAGAAUAGGAAAAAAAAAAAAAAACAAAAA